Molecule: ribosomal RNA, 413 nt
Filed under: Tissierella sp.
Lineage: Bacteria; Bacillati; Bacillota; Tissierellia; Tissierellales; Tissierellaceae
Description: bacterial SSU rRNA
Rfam family: Bacterial small subunit ribosomal RNA
Source: RNAcentral
AAUGAGAGUUUGAUCCUGGCUCAGGACGAACGCUGGCGGCGUGCCUAACACAUGCAAGUCGAGCGAAGUAUUUAAAGAAGAUCCCUUCGGGGUGAAACUUUAAAUAUCUUAGCGGCGGACGGGUGAGUAACGCGUGAGAAACCUGCCUUUCACAAAGGGAUAGCCUCGGGAAACUGGGAUUAAUACCUUAUAAUGUUUCAUCUUAGCAUUAAGAAGAAACCAAAGCGCAAAGCGGUGAAAGAUGGUCUCGCGUCCCAUUAGCUUGUUGGUGAGAUAAAAGCUCACCAAGGCGACGAUGGGUAGCCGGCCUGAGAGGGUGAACGGCCACACUGGAACUGAGACACGGUCCAGACUCCUACGGGAGGCAGCAGUGGGGAAUAUUGCACAAUGGAGGAAACUCUGAUGCAGCGACG